Long non-coding RNA from Panicum virgatum (switchgrass), 866 nucleotides. RefSeq lists it as uncharacterized. The record is from RefSeq and is a predicted model, not a curated record. The transcript has 4 exons. NCBI's taxonomy places the organism in Eukaryota, Viridiplantae, Streptophyta, Magnoliopsida, Poales, Poaceae.
AUUAUGGGCCUCUGCAUUUUAUUCAAAUGCAUUUGACAUUUGCCAUUCUCAGUUUCUGCUCAUAACCUCUUUUCAACGACCUCAGUUUCUCCCUUCUGUAAAUAACAAAGAAUAGCUAUGAACUGGUGAUAUAUGGAAGAUUGUUCUUUGCGAUUAGCUUGCUGAAAGAACAAAAUAAUCAUUCAGUUUCAGAUUGUGGUUUAUAUGAUUUUUUUCUCUACAGAUUAAUUUGAGAUAUGCAUUGAAAAUUAGGAUGUUCUGUAUCAUUGCUAAACUGAAUUGGGGAACUGUUGUUUUUCCGCACAGAUUUGCAAAUAUCCUGGUGCCAUUUUGGGACAGUCACUACAAAAGGUUUUCUGCAGGAUCUUGUCAAUGUGUUAUUAGAACCUACAACUCACAUCCUCAAAACAUAUUUCAAGUAGAGAAGAGCUCGUCAAGGAUAAGAUGGAUUCUCACUUGAGGUGUAUCUGCUGCAUUAGAGAUGCUUGCUGACAAGUUAUAACAAACUAGGAACAUCGUGUUGACGCACUUCUAUCAGAAAUUCGACGAGAAGCUGAGGCCAAAAAGAGCAGCUCGAGGCCAACUCGCUCUGGAAGCCAGUCAAAGCAGGAAGCUGAACCACAGCCGAUGCUCUGGAGAACAGUGGACGGUCAUUCUCCUCUUGGUGACAUCACAAACACAUACGACAGUCGGAAGCAAUUUAAUCAUUUAUGGUCUAAUAUCCUAGAUAACAAAUAUAUGUUAUGCCAUCAACAGUUUUGGUUUUCUAUUACAGAUAUCACAGUUGGCAUAUCUACAGACCCUAUUUUGCGUGAUGGUAUCAAAUGUGCUGUUCUCGCUCGAGCUGAAAAGAUAAAGGGUGCUAA